RNAcentral lists this transfer RNA (71 nucleotides) under Marmota monax (woodchuck). RNAcentral's name for it is "tRNA.Ala". Lineage: Eukaryota; Metazoa; Chordata; Mammalia; Rodentia; Sciuridae. The record is from RNAcentral.
UGGGGUGAGCUCAGUGGUAGAGUGCUUGCCUAGCUUGCGUGGGGCCCUGGGUUCCAUCCCCAGCACAGCAA